RNAcentral lists this ribosomal RNA (839 nucleotides) under Hypotrachyna taylorensis. Its description in RNAcentral is "SSU rRNA". It matches the Rfam family "Bacterial small subunit ribosomal RNA", at positions 356 to 1146 of the family's 1533-position model. Lineage: Eukaryota; Fungi; Ascomycota; Lecanoromycetes; Lecanorales; Parmeliaceae. The record is from RNAcentral.
GAGGAAUGUAUAGCAAUAGCUAGUUGCAUCAUUGUAAAUAUGAUGUAAGAUUGACUAUGUUGAAUAAAAUUCUAGGUAGAGUUAUGAUAAUGACAUUUUCUGCCUAUGUGUCUUGACCAAAUUACGUGCCAGCAGUCGCGGUAAUACGUAGAAGACUAGUGUUAUUCAUGUUUAAUCGGUUUAAAGGGUACCUAGACGGCAGAUCAAGCUUUCCGAGAAGAAAAAAAAAUAAGAAAACAAARUAGAAAUAAAAAGGACUAAUUUGCUAGAGUUACUUACGAGGGGGUUUUAAAGUACUACUGGUGUAGAGAUGAAAUUCUGUCAUACCUCUUUUCGAAAGAAAAAUAAUGGCACAGGUAUAGGCGAAGGCAUCCCCUUAUGUGAUAACUGACGUUGAGGGACGAAGGCUUUAUAUAACGAACAGGAUUAGAUACCCUAGUAGUGGAAGCAGUAAAUGAUGAAUGUCAUAGAUUAGAUUAGAUUAAUUUAUUCUAUAAAUGAAAGUGUAAGCAUUCCACCUCAUGAGUAAUUUGGCAACAUUGGAAUUGAAAUCAUUAGACCGUUUCUGAAACCAGUAGUGAAGUAUGUUGUUUAAUUUGAUGAUCCGCAAAAAACCUUACCACAAUUUGAAUAUUUAUAUUAUGCUUAUUGUAUUUUUAUUAAUUUUCUUUAAGCAUCUAAGCAUAGAGGAAAUUAAUAAAGAGGCAAUAAGGUAUAUUUACAAGCGUUGCACGGCUGUCUUCAGUUAAUGUCGCGAGAUUUUGGUUAGAUCCAUUAAAUUAACGUAAACCCUUACUUUAUUUUUAGAUAGAGUUGUUCCCCACUAUAUUGGAUUAGAU